This 468-nucleotide ribosomal RNA is filed under the name uncultured bacterium. RNAcentral describes it as "partial 16S ribosomal RNA". It matches the Rfam family "Bacterial small subunit ribosomal RNA", at positions 28 to 507 of the family's 1533-position model. The record is from RNAcentral.
GACGAACGCUGGCGGCGUGCUUAACACAUGCAAGUCGAACGGAAAGGCCCUGCUUUUGUGGGGUGCUCGAGUGGCGAACGGGUGAGUAACACGUGAGUAACCUGCCCUUGACUUUGGGAUAACUUCAGGAAACUGGGGCUAAUACCGGAUAGGAGCUCCUGCUGCAUGGUGGGGGUUGGAAAGUUUCGGCGGUUGGGGAUGGACUCGCGGCUUAUCAGCUUGUUGGUGGGGUAGUGGCUUACCAAGGCUUUGACGGGUAGCCGGCCUGAGAGGGUGACCGGCCACAUUGGGACUGAGAUACGGCCCAGACUCCUACGGGAGGCAGCAGUGGGGAAUAUUGUACAAUGGGCGGAAGCCUGAUGCAGCAACGCAGCGUGCGGGAUGACGGCCUUCGGGUUGUAAACCGCUUUCGCCUGUGACGAAGCGUGAGUGACGGUAAUGGGUAAAGAAGCACCGGCUAACUACGUG